GAGUCUUGCUCUGUCGCCCACUGUAACCUCCGCCUCCCAGGUUCAAGUGAUUCUUCUGCCUCAGCCUCCCGAGUAGCUGGGACUACAGGCCUAUGCCACCACACCCGGCUAAUUUUUGUAUUUUUAGUAGAGACGGGGUGUCACCAUAUUGGCCAGGCUGGUCUUGAACUCCUGACCUCUGCCCUUGUGAUCUCCUCGUGAUCUCCACGUGAACUCCUCGUGAUCUGCCCAUCUCGGCCUUCCAAAGUGCUAGGAUUACAGGUGUGAGCCACCGUGCCCAGCCCUGCCUCAUUUCUUCACACCCCGUUGGUGUUUCCUGGGAUCAUCUCCAAAAUAAUCUACCUGCAUGCAUUAAACUCCUUAUCUCAGAGUUUGCUUUUGGGAGAACUCAAAUGAUGAUGCUAUGGGAUGAGUGUCAUCAUCAAAGAUGAGUUUGUGAAAUGGUUCUGGUUUGCCUGGGACUGAGGGACUCCUGGAUUGUGGGACUUUUGGUACUAAACCUGGGAAAGUCCCGGGUAAACCAGAAUGAAUUGACUAUCCUUAUAGGAGGAUAGUGUGGCAUCAGGGAAGCCAAGAGAAGAGAAUGCUUCAAGAAGAAAAAAAAUGAUCAACAGAGUCAAAUGUUGACCCAGCGGUCAAGUUUGGUAAGACUGAGAAACAACCAGUGGACUUUGCACCGAGGAAGCAUUUGGGACAUUGGUUCAUCCUUUGGUGUGUUGCAAGCAGAAGUUAGAUUGCAGUGGUUGAACAGUGAGGAGGUUGGAGCAAGUGAAGACAACACAGUGGAAACAAGCUUUUUUCUAGAAUUUUUUUUUUUUUUUUUUUGAGAUGGAAUUUCGCUCUUGUUGCCCAGUCUGGAGUGCAGUGGCGCAAUCUCGGCUCACCGCAACCUCCAUCUCCCGGGUUCAAGUGAUUCUCCUGCCUCAGCCUCCUGAGUAGCUGGGGAUUACAGACAUGCGCCACCACGCCUGGCUAAUUUCGUAUUUUUAGUAGAGAGGGUGUUUCUCCAUGUUGGUCAGGCUGGUCUCGAACUCCUGACCUCAGGUGAACCACCCGCCUUGGCCUCCCAAAGUGCUGGGAUUAUAGGUGUGAGCCACCACACCCCACCUUUUUUUCUAGAAUUUUGGCUGUGAAGAGGAGGAGAGAUAGAGUGGCUAUUGCAGAGGGAAAGCAGAUUAAGGGGAGACUUUUUGGAUAGAAGGGGCCUGAACAUGUGUCCUCUCUUUUCCUUCCUUCUUUUCUUUUCUCUUUUCUUUUCUUUUUUCUUUCUUCCUUCCUUCCUUUCUUUUUCGUUCUUUCUCUUUCUCUCUCUCUUCCUCUCUCUCUUCCCCUUGCUUCCCUCCCUCCCUCCCUCCCUUUCUUUCUUUCUUUCUUUCUUUCUUUCUUUCUUCCUUUCUUUCUUUCUUUCUUUCUUUUCUUUCUCUCUUUCUUGAUGGAGUCUUACUCUGUCACCCAAACUAGAGUGCAAUGGCAUGAUAUUGACUCACUGCAACCUCUGCCUCCUGGGUUCAAGUGAUUCUCCUGCCUCAGCCUCCCAAGUAGCUGGGAUUACAGGCCCCUGCCACCACGCCUGGCUAAUAUUUGCAUUUUUAGUAGAGAUGGGGUUUCACCACAUUGGAUAGGCUGGUCUCGAACUCCUGACCUCAGGUGAUCCACCUGCCUCGGCCUCCCAAAAUGCUAGGAUUACAGGCGUGAGCCACUGCACCCGGCCAUGUCCUCUCUUUUCUUCCAAAAUUCCUAUUAUUCUCAUAUUAAACACCCCAGUCUUCCUUUUAUUCUUCCAAGAUUUUAAUCUUUUGGCCUUUUUUCCUCAGUGCUUUGAGCUAUUUCUCCUGUGUGGUCUUCUAAGCCUCAAAUUUGGCUUUUGAGAGUGAUGACUUAAAAAAAAAAUCACCCAGCAUCAAUAGCAGACAGGUGCUAAAGAAAAAUAAAAAUCAUCCAGUAAAAUAUCUUCUUAAAUGUAUUCCUUUUUUAUUAAGUUCCAUAGAACUAGAACUUUUGGGCAUGCACUUGAAUCUUCUUACAUUCUUUAAUUUUUUUAUUUUUUGCAAAAUAAACUUUUAUUUGGAGGGACAGCAUAAUUUAGAGUCCAGGCUCUUUUACACUUUAAACAUUUAUUUAUUUAUUUGUUUUAUAUAGACAAAAAUAUAUAUAUUUAUCAUGUACAACAGGAUGUUUUGAAAUAUAUCUACAUCGUGGAAUGACUAAGUCAAGCUAAUUAAUAUACGAUUACCUCAUAUAACUUUUUUUUCUUUUUUUUGUGGUGAGAACACUUAAAAUCUCUCAUCAGGCGCGAUGGCUUGUGUCUGUAAUCCCAGCACUUUGGGAGGCCCCGGCAGGUGGAUCGCUGCUUGAGGUCAGGAGUUUGAGAUCAGCCUGGCCAACAUGGUGAAACCUUGUCUCCACUAAAAAUACAAAAUUAGCUGGGCAUGGUGGCAUGUGCUUGUAGUCCCAGCUAUCGGGAGGCUAAGGCAGGAGAAUUGCUUGAACCCAGGAGGUAGAGGUUGCAGUGAGCCUAGAUCUCACCACUGCACUCCAGCCUGGGUGACAGAGUGAGACUCAGUCUCAGAAGAAAAUAAGUUAGCCUGGGCCGGGCACGGUGGCUCAUGCCUGUAAUCCCAGCACUCUGGGAGGCCAAGUCAGGUGGAUCACCUGAGGCUGGGAGUUCGA
RNAcentral lists this long non-coding RNA (2670 nucleotides) under Homo sapiens (human). Its description in RNAcentral is "HSALNT0256250". Lineage: Eukaryota; Metazoa; Chordata; Mammalia; Primates; Hominidae. The record is from RNAcentral.